AGCACAAAAAACAAAACAAAAAUUAAUAAAAAAAUAAAGAAUAAAACCCCAAAUUAAGCACACUAUCGCUUUGACACUCCUUUCAGUCAUCAGCUAUCACUCUCUCUUUCUCUCGCAUCAAAAGCCAUGGCCACCGCGAGAGUGCUAACCGUCGCCAAUACGUCCUGCUUGCUCUCCAAGACGACGUCGUUCCUUGCCAAGCAGGGGCCGUACAGCACCAGCCUCUGCUUUACCAGAAGAAGAGCAGCGUCGUCGUUGUCUUCGUCGUGCCGGAGGUCCUUCGCUUGCACAGCUAUCUACAACCCCGAGGUUCAGAUCAAGGAGGAAGGGCAGCCCGAAACCCUAGACUACCGAGUCUUCUUCGUCGACCGUGUUGGUCAAAAGGUUUCACCUUGGCAUGAUAUACCUUUGCAAGUGGGUAAUGGUGUAUUCAACUUUGUGGUUGAAAUACCCAAAGAAUCGAGUGCAAAGAUGGAGGUUGCUACUGAUGAGCCACACACUCCGAUAAAGCAGGAUACAAAGAAAGGAAAACUUCGUUACUAUCCCUACAAUAUUAAUUGGAAUUAUGGAUUGCUUCCACAAACAUGGGAAGACCCAUCCCUUGCUAAUAGUGAAGUUGAAGGAGCAUUUGGGGAUAAUGAUCCAGUUGAUGUUGUUGAGAUAGGCGAAAGUCGGAGAAAGAUUGGCGAGGUUCUCAAAGUAAAGCCCUUGGCUGCAUUAGCUAUGAUUGAUGAAGGGGAACUUGACUGGAAAAUUGUUGCAAUUUCAUUGGAUGAUCCCAAAGCUUCUCUUGUCAAUGACAUUGAUGAUGUUGAGAAGCAUUUUCCGGGGACUCUCACUGCAAUAAGGGACUGGUUUAGAGACUACAAGAUCCCUGAUGGAAAGCCUGCUAACAAGUUUGGUCUUGGCAACAAAGCGGCAAACAAGGGCAUGCUUCAAACAGAAUUCCACAUGAUGUCCCACAACAUGAAGGCAUUCGAAACAUGAUUGUAAAUCCAACAGCCUUUGCUGGACAGUUAUUUCAGGUGUCAACUCAUACAUCAAUGUGGAAUUAGUGUAGUAGUCAUGACAGGUAGGACAAUAUACCUGGCAUUUUAAAUAGGUUGUGAAAGCUGUAGUUCUACACGAUCUGUCUCAGUCCUUUGGGCUUGACCUUCUGAUGCAGGAGAAUCUACAGGGCUUUCCAAGACUAUGUGGCCAACUUGGCUUGGGUUAUACUUAGUUUAGGGUUUUAGUUGUUUCCUUGUCUUUUAUUUGUCUUUUUUGAGUUUUAUGUUUUAUUUAGUUUGACAAAUGAUAGUUAUACUCCUAGUCCUUUCAAGCACUCAUCUGAUCGUCGUGUGAGUGUAAGUAUUUUGGAGGGGCAUGAUUAAGUAGUUAUUAGUAUGCAAGGGGUAGGAUGCUAGGGCUGCUGUAACCCUAGUCUAAAUACUCUUUCAAGAGGAUUUGUAACCUAGGUCUACACUUUGGUUGGACAUGGUGGAGGUUGUUGAUGAGGAAACCAAGCCCAACAACAGAGAUGGCUGAGCUGUGGCAUAUGAUUGAAGAUUUGGGAAGAGUGAUACAAGCUCUUCAAUGACAGGAACCUGUGGAAGCCUGUGCAUAGAUUCCAGAAGGCAAUUGCAACUCCUUGGACAUAUCAGAAGGUGGUUUUAAGGAUGAAGGUUGUGAAGAAUAUGAAGAAAACCCCUUCAUGAUGCUAGAAACCAAGAAUAUCAGGAUCAUAGCAGACAGUUAGUUUUGGUUAUUCAGGUAUGGUUUAUGAUAUCAUUGAAUGAGUUUGGCAACCAGUUAAGUAUAAGUCGAAUGUUUCGUUGAUGAAAUUUUGGAUGACUUGGAAUAUGAUGGGUUUUCUUAUUAUUCUAGAUAUCCUUGCCAGUAUUUAAUUGUUGUUCAUAAGAUGAUUGCAAAGUUUAUUUGGGGUUAGAACUUUUGACAAAAUAUUUUGGUGAGUAAAAAAGAAGUUGGUGUUGAAAAACUUUUGUAGGAAGAUGGUGCAAGAAAUUCUUGAAGACAUCAUUGAAGAUAAGCUCAUAACCCUAAAUUCCCAGGACCGGAUGAAUUUUUUAGAUAAUAAUACUUCUGAAUGUGUUGAUUUUAUCGGGUUGAAUUUUUAGUUUGUGAUUGUCAAGAGUUUGGGUGAUCAUCUAACUCAGGAGAAAAUUGAUGUCAAGAAAUAACGGGUUUCAAGAUUGAUAAUUGAGAAUGAAUGUAAUGGUUUAAAAUGAGCUGAUAUUCCAAGUAUCUCUUUGUUUGGAUGGGAAGUAUUCAGUUUCGAGCCCAAAAGUCCAGAUGAGUUUAGUCAAUGACAUUAGAGAUAAUACCUGGACAACCUUUACCAAAGCAAUUAAAAUUGAAGUUUGCUAUCUUCGAUGGAAAGUUGCAAGCAGGAGAUAAUUUGGAUUGGAAGGCAAGCCAACAUACGUGAUCCUUACUGAAGUUCUGGCAGCUUUCUCAUGGCAGUCAAGUUUUUCCCAACCUGGUGGAUUUGAUGCGGGAGCAUCUACAAGGCUUUCCAAGACUAAGUGGGAUUUUGCGCUUAAGGUCAUAACCGAAACCAAUGAAUCAUGGGCUAAGCUUGUCAAGAGAUCAAUUCCUGCUGGAGAUCUGUCACUUGC
Prunus persica (peach) is the source of this 2618-nucleotide RNA transcript. It is a transcript of the gene named soluble inorganic pyrophosphatase 6, chloroplastic, with no coding region annotated. Lineage: Eukaryota; Viridiplantae; Streptophyta; Magnoliopsida; Rosales; Rosaceae. The transcript has 7 exons. The record is from RefSeq and is a predicted model, not a curated record.